CGAAUGCUGACAUAAGUAACGAUAAAGCGGGUGAAAAGCCCGCUCGCCGGAAGACCAAGGGUUCCUGUCCAACGUUAAUCGGGGCAGGGUGAGUCGACCCCUAAGGCGAGGCCGAAAGGCGUAGUCGAUGGGAAACAGGUUAAUAUUCCUGUACUUGGUGUUACUGCGAAGGGGGGACGGAGAAGGCUAUGUUGGCCGGGCGACGGUUGUCCCGGUUUAAGCGUGUAGGCUGGUUUUCCAGGCAAAUCCGGAAAAUCAAGGCUGAGGCGUGAUGACGAGGCACUACGGUGCUGAAGCAACAAAUGCCCUGCUUCCAGGAAAAGCCUCUAAGCAUCAGGUAACAUCAAAUCGUACCCCAAACCGACACAGGUGGUCAGGUAGAGAAUACCAAGGCGCUUGAGAGAACUCGGGUGAAGGAACUAGGCAAAAUGGUGCCGUAACUUCGGGAGAAGGCACGCUGAUAUGUAGGUGAAGUCCCUCGCGGAUGGAGCUGAAAUCAGUCGAAGAUACCAGCUGGCUGCAACUGUUUAUUAAAAACACAGCACUGUGCAAACACGAAAGUGGACGUAUACGGUGUGACGCCUGCCCGGUGCCGGAAGGUUAAUUGAUGGGGUUAGCGCAAGCGAAGCUCUUGAUC
RNAcentral lists this ribosomal RNA (637 nucleotides) under Escherichia coli. Its description in RNAcentral is "partial 23S ribosomal RNA". It matches the Rfam family "Bacterial large subunit ribosomal RNA", at positions 1291 to 1913 of the family's 2925-position model. The record is from RNAcentral. Lineage: Bacteria; Pseudomonadati; Pseudomonadota; Gammaproteobacteria; Enterobacterales; Enterobacteriaceae.